This 253-nucleotide ribosomal RNA is filed under the name uncultured bacterium. Its description in RNAcentral is "partial 16S ribosomal RNA". It matches the Rfam family "Bacterial small subunit ribosomal RNA", at positions 524 to 776 of the family's 1533-position model. The record is from RNAcentral.
UACGGAGGGUGCAAGCGUUAUCCGGAUUCACUGGGUUUAAAGGGUGUGUAGGCGGGCUAUUAAGUCAGCGGUGAAAUCUCUGAGCUCAACUCAGAAACUGCCAUUGAUACUAUUAGUCUUGAAUAUCGUUGAGGUAGGCGGAAUAUGUCAUGUAGCGGUGAAAUGCUUAGAUAUGACAUAGAACACCGAUUGCGAAGGCAGCUUACUAAACGAUUAUUGACGCUGAGGCACGAAAGCGUGGGGAUCAAACAGG